Molecule: unclassified non-coding RNA, 320 nt
Filed under: uncultured fungus
Lineage: Eukaryota; Fungi
Description: partial contains 5.8S ribosomal RNA, internal transcribed spacer 2, and large subunit ribosomal RNA
Source: RNAcentral
AAGGAUCAUUAACACGUAUCCACGUAUCAACCCCUCUGUGAAAACGCAAAAGCAGCAAGGUCUGGUCUUAGUGCGUCUGUCUGCUAUGGGUCCUAAUGAUGGGUGACUCUCUCUCUCUCGGGGGGGGAGAGUCACAGGGCUCGGACGGCGUGUGUUUGACGAUCAACCGAUACUUUUCCAUUGUUGGCCUUUACCCAACUUUUUAACCCCUUUGUACUCUUUUGUACUGAACCAUUCUUCGAUGCUCUCCCUCAAAAGAGAGUGACGAAUGAUAUUACGAAACUUAAGAACAACUCUUAGCAACGGAUAUCUUGGUUCCC